RNAcentral lists this ribosomal RNA (409 nucleotides) under Pediococcus pentosaceus. RNAcentral describes it as "bacterial SSU rRNA". It matches the Rfam family "Bacterial small subunit ribosomal RNA", at positions 70 to 467 of the family's 1533-position model. Lineage: Bacteria; Bacillati; Bacillota; Bacilli; Lactobacillales; Lactobacillaceae. The record is from RNAcentral.
CUGAUUGAGAUUUUAACACGAAGUGAGUGGCGAACGGGUGAGUAACACGUGGGUAACCUGCCCAGAAGUAGGGGAUAACACCUGGAAACAGAUGCUAAUACCGUAUAACAGAGAAAACCGCAUGGUUUUCUUUUAAAAGAUGGCUCUGCUAUCACUUCUGGAUGGACCCGCGGCGUAUUAGCUAGUUGGUGAGGUAAAGGCUCACCAAGGCAGUGAUACGUAGCCGACCUGAGAGGGUAAUCGGCCACAUUGGGACUGAGACACGGCCCAGACUCCUACGGGAGGCAGCAGUAGGGAAUCUUCCACAAUGGACGCAAGUCUGAUGGAGCAACGCCGCGUGAGUGAAGAAGGGUUUCGGCUCGUANAGCUCUGUUGUUAAAGAAGAACGUGGGUAAGAGUAACUGUUACC